AGUUCAACUACCUCGAGAACUACGUGAACUACUUUGUAUUGCAAAUACUUAACCUCACUUAUACAAUGUAAAAUCAGGAAUAUAACAUUACUGGAACUGGAAUUGAGCUAAUCCAGAGCACAAAAUGGCUUACAUUGUUUAGUGCACAAGAAAUUGACCCAGUUAGGUCUUGCUGGUUUGAUACUGUGAUUUCUGUCCAGACUCACUCAACAUGUUACCUGUGACAAUGGAUAUUUAGUAAGAUCUUCUAAAUCCAUCCGUGAAAAGCUCUAACAUGCAUUGUUCCUGAAAUUAGAGUUCACAAGUGAAAGGACUAGCCUUCGAUUCAUUCAUACUUGCUGCUGGUUUACGGCAUGGGUUGGAAGCUGUGUUGUACAUUUAAUGGGUCUCAGUUUGGGAUACCUUUUGCCAGAUGUUGCCUUUCUAAAAGGUUUUUUUAAUGCUUGGGACAAAUCCCAUGGAUAUGAAAAGGUCUUGCUGUAAAAACUAAUCCAAAGAAUACAGCCCUACAACUUGCUGUAGAUGGUAUUAAUGGUUAAAGUUUUAGUGGCGUGUUAGCCGAGCAUUGGACCCUAGGCUAGGAUAAUUUGUGUGCCCCCUCCCUCUCCUAUUAUAGUAUUGCAUUCUCAGAUUAAUUGUUAAUCUGAGAUUGUAUGGUAGGCAUUAUCACUACUCUAAUGAUUGAGGAACAUUAUGUAUUUCAAGGAAUAUGAAUCGUAUUGAUGUGGUUUUUUUUUGUGAAUAAAAUUGUUUACUGUUA
This is a long non-coding RNA of Photinus pyralis (common eastern firefly), 760 nucleotides long. RefSeq lists it as uncharacterized. The record is from RefSeq and is a predicted model, not a curated record. The transcript has 2 exons. NCBI's taxonomy places the organism in Eukaryota, Metazoa, Arthropoda, Insecta, Coleoptera, Lampyridae.